AGAGUUUGAUUCUGGCUCAGGAUGAACGCUGGCGGCGUGCCUAAUACAUGCAAGUCGAACGCACAGCGAAAGGUGCUUGCACCUUUCAAGUGAGUGGCGAACGGGUGAGUAACACGUGGAUAACCUACCUCAAGGUUGGGGAUAACAUUUGGAAACAGAUGCUAAUACCGAAUAAAACUUCGUAUCGCAUGAUACAAGGUUAAAAGGCGCUACGGCGUCACCUAGAGAUGGAUCCGCGGUGCAUUAGUUAGUUGGUGGGGUAAAGGCCUACCAAGACAAUGAUGCAUAGCCGAGUUGAGAGACUGAUCGGCCACAUUGGGACUGAGACACGGCCCAAACUCCUACGGGAGGCUGCAGUAGGGAAUCUUCCACAAUGGGCGAAAGCCUGAUGGAGCAACGCCGCGUGUGUGAUGAAGGCUUUCGGGUCGUAAAGCACUGUUGUAUGGGAAGAACAGCUAGAGUAGGGAAUGACUUUAGUUUGACGGUACCAUACCAGAAAGGGACGGCUAAAUACGUGCCAGCAGCCGCGGUAAUACGUAUGUCCCGAGCGUUAUCCGGAUUUAUUGGGCGUAAAGCGAGCGCAGACGGUUGAUUAAGUCUGAUGUGAAAGCCCGGAGCUCAACUCCGGAAAGGCAUUGGAAACUGGUCAACUUGAGUGCAGUAGAGGUAAGUGGAACUCCAUGUGUAGCGGUGGAAUGCGUAGAUAUAUGGAAGAACACCAGCGGCGAAGGCGGCUUACUGGACUGUAACUGACGUUGAGGCUCGAAAGUGUGGGUAGCAAACAGGAUUAGAUACCCUGGUAGUCCACACCGUAAACGAUGAA
RNAcentral lists this ribosomal RNA (823 nucleotides) under uncultured bacterium. Its description in RNAcentral is "bacterial SSU rRNA". It matches the Rfam family "Bacterial small subunit ribosomal RNA", at positions 8 to 813 of the family's 1533-position model. The record is from RNAcentral.